RNAcentral lists this long non-coding RNA (2501 nucleotides) under Salvia miltiorrhiza (redroot sage). RNAcentral's name for it is "long non-coding RNA (SMIL_LNC005725)". The record is from RNAcentral. Lineage: Eukaryota; Viridiplantae; Streptophyta; Magnoliopsida; Lamiales; Lamiaceae.
UUAAAUUGAAUAUUAAGCAUUUAACAUCCACACGAGCUAUUUAUUUAAGCAAACACUGAACGAUUAUUACAGUUUUCAUAAUACAACCCGGAAGACCUUAUUUUAUAUUACUCUCCCACCUACUUCCUUCCACCUACUCCCUCUCACACCCACCUACUCCCUUCUUUUUGCAAACUUAAUAUAGCUAGUUGAUCCGAGCUUCCAUUUUCUAUCCUCCACAAUACAUAUUUCAUCUCCCUCAUCAAUUUUCAGCACAUCAGCUACUGAACAAAUUCAGAAGAUUUGCAGAAUGAUAACCCAACAGAUUUCUUUUGAAGGUUAAACCUCUAACUCUCUUACUCGAGCACUUCUUUUGAAACAGAAACUCAAGUUAGAACCCAUACAUAACACGUACACUGAUUCCAUCAUAUAUAUAAAUUUGCAUAUGACAACAAGACCCAAACUCAAUGAUGUUUAUUAUCGUCUGUGCAUAUACAUACAUACAUGAAGCAUUAGUUUUUUUAAAAAAGUAAAAAGAAGUAGAUAUUGAAGCUCUGUUUUCUUUAUCCUUGUUUCGAACUGCUGUGUCGAGUCGGGUAGACGAGUGUGGUGGCUGUGUGAAUUGAGUCGGGAGGUGGACGGAGGCACGGCACGGCAGCGGCGCUGCUGUCGCCCGGCCACGGUGAGAGAGAGGGAGCUAGGGCUCGGGCGCCGCUCUUCGCGGUGGGAUGUCGGGCCUGUUUCAGCCGAGAGAAGGGAGAACCGAGGGGUAGUGGUUGUCGCCGUUGCUCCGGCGAGCUCCAGCGGCCGUGAGAGCAGUCGAGAGGGAGACGAGCAGCGAGAGUGGAAGAGGGAGGCCAGAGCUCGGCGGCCUUGGCUGCUGUUGCUCGGCCACGGUCGGAGAAGUAGAGGAGAGUCGGAGUCAGCGGCGGUCGGUGGCGGUUCUCGCUGCUAUCGCCGGAGUUCCAGAGGAAGGAGGAAGGAGGAGAGGGCGGUCUAGUCGGGAACCUGUGUUGAACUUGGCCCCGUCAGAGGUUCUAGCUCGAUUGUGUCGAGUCGAGAGGAUUGGAAUGGAGGCUCUCAUAGAGAGGAUGCACGGCUCGUUUGACGAGUGAGUUGCAGGACGGCGGCGACCUUGGCCUUGCUGCCGUCGACCUGAGGAGGGAGAACCGAGCGUCGUCAGCGGCUGUCGUUGUUGCUCCGGCAAACUUCGGCGGUGGCGAAAUUCUGAGGGAGAAGGGUGCUGCUGCGUGCGUGAGUUUGUGUAGGUAGAGGAAAAACUAGGGAGAAGAAGAUGGGGUAGAGGGAAAGGGUCGGUCGUCGGCUUCUCGCCGGAAGGAGCCGCGGCAGCGGGAAUGAUGGCUGAGAGAGAGAGGUCGAGAGAGAGAGCAGUCGUGAGAUGAGAGAUAAGAGAGGGUGUGCGGCUGAUAGGGAGAAGAUAGAGAAGGGUUGGGGGUGUUGGGCUUUGGAGUGGGCUUGAGUAUAUGGGCCGAAAAUUUUAAAGGUUGGGCUUUGUUAUUUCCUUAUUUGGGCCGAGUAUUUGGGCCGAUUUUUAUAAGUGAUGGGCUUCGAUUUUUAAUAGAUUUGGGCUGCGAUUUUUAAAAGCUUGGGCCGAUUUUUAAUUUUAUUUAGCUGGGCCCGAUUUAUUUUAUUCAGUCUGGGCCAUUCAUAUUUUAUUGAGUUGGGCCUCAUCUUUUAAAUUUAUAUGGGCUAUUAUUUAUUUAAGCAUGAGCUCUAUUUCAUCUAUUUAAAUGGCUUCCCUAUUUUAUUUAAUUAGACUAUUAAUUAGUUUGAUUAAUUAUUUUUAAAGACUUUGGAUUGCCUUCAAUUAAUUAAAUUGGGCUUUCUUAUUUUUAAUUAAUUGAACUAUUAUUAGUUUGAUUAAUUUAUUUAAAGGAUAAUUUUUAUAAUAAUAUUAAAUUAUUAUUAAGUGCAUAUUUUAAGUAAUUACUUAUCAUAUGCUAAGCAUGACAUGACAUUUCAUUUGCAUCAUGAAAUAAAAAGUAUUUAUGAUUUAAUUGGUUUAUUUAUAAUUCCAAUUAUUAAAGAAAGAUGAGUAAGAAUAUUGUUGGUGUUCNUUUAAGAAAACCCCUGUGUGUUACUGUUAUGGCAGUUCAAUUUAUAUAUAUAUGCAUGUUGUAUUUUCGGCUAUGCCCACUGAGUAUCUUUAUACUCAGCCCUGCAUGUAUUUCUAAAUGUGCAGGUUGAGCAGUUGAUGGAAUGGAAUGAUGUUGAGCGGGUGUUCCUUUGACAUUUCAAGAAAUGUAACCUUGAGUAUACAUCUUCAUAUGUAUAUCUCACACGUUUUCCGCUGCAAAACACUUUGAUUAGGAUAACUCUAUGUUAUGAAGUUGUUACACGUGUUAUUGGGUAAACCACCUUAAUCAGUUCUCUUUUAUGUGUUUGUUUUAUAAGUAUCCAAAUGAUCAUAUAUGAUCCUAGCUUUUUAUCUAUAAGUGAUAUUUUCAUAUACUUUAAUGUUAAGUAAUUGUCCAUUUCCAUUUCUUAUUGUUCACCCCAAG